UUUAAAAUAAAUCGUUCCAUUUUCGCAUUAUAAUUAAUUUAAAUGUCUUCUUAAUAGAUGCAAAUGAACUGACUGUUGUCAAAACUAAAUUAUAUUAUCCAUUAAUUUUAAAUGGAACAGAUAAUAAACCAAUUUAAAAACCUUCAUUUAUUUUCAGAACCAAGCCCAAAGGGGAAAAAGUGGAACAAUCAAUUCACUCCAACAUGGCACAUCGUUAUUUAAUUAACCACGGUUAAUUUGUUAACCGGCAGUUAAACGACGAUAUUAACAAUGCUAAUUAUAAGGGUUUGUGACCAUUUAUUAUAAAUUUGUGCUGCUUAAAAGCAAUAUAUAUGUUAAAAAUGUUCAAUUUUGAGCCAAAAUACUUCAAAUCGUUAAGACUUUUGUCUUUAAUGUGCGGUAGAUUGCCUUUUAUUUUUAAAUGAAAUGAUUUAAUGUUAUAGGGUAAAUUAGUGUUUUCUCUGUGUAGUUGUAACACCUUUUUCCUCCUUUGCAGCAUUUCUCGCGAAUCAUGUCAUCUGAUCAAAGUCUCCCAGAAGCACUCUGGGUGCUGCCAGUGGUGGUUCAGGCUACAACUCCAUCUGGUGGAGAAUAAAGGAGGGCGACAAGCAUUCGUGAGCAUGUUUCCACUUCUUUAUCAAAAAAAGUUGGCUAACCAUCAAGUUGAAGACAGUUGAGAUAUCCUGUCUGAAUUCCACCCAGCUGUCCCCUCUACCCAUCUCUUCACCAGCGAAAAGAGCCCACUCAGCUGCCCCCACUUUGGAACUCAUUAAAGUUGUGGUUCAGAAACAUCAAUGUCAAAUUUUAAUUAUUUUCUUGUAUUUAUUUCCUAGUCUUUUAAUUUCCAGUAAGAUGCCUACAAUAUAUUAUUAUCAUACUUCUAUUAAUUUUCAUCUGUUGUGUUCAAUGAAGCAAUAAAAUGUUCUGAGAUCAUUAAUGGAAAAUAUUGGAAAAACUUUAAAUAUAAAGGCUUUGAAAGAGGUUUUCACAGACAACUACUAAGACACCCGAUAUGUAAUGCUGGAGUGUUAGUGCGAAUUACUAUGAAGAUGUUAUGAACUGAGAUCUACAAGUUGAAGCAAAUGUCUAAAUCUCAUCGUACUGACAUCAAAUUUGGCAGUACUGUUCAAAAGCAAAAAUGGAAUGACAUUUAUAAAGGAUAAAUGUUUAUGUUUUCAGCAUUUAAUUGUAUAUUUUAAAGAUUAUUUUAAAGAUUUACCUGGCCACACAUAAACUGAAAGCAUGUGGGUUCUUUGGUGCAACCUGAGUACCUGAAAAAAGACAUAAUGCUCACAAAACAUGUCCAACCCAGAAAACCAACUGUGUUCAUGAUCACUACGGAUAACCAAACACGUUGGACCAGAAAAGUCCUCCUAAAAGGUGUAUUCAGGCCUUACUGUAGAGAUCGCAUCCCAUAAUCCUCCAGGAGACACACCUGUAGAGGAGAGUAUAAAAACUCUGGCCUGACCUGAACAGCACAUCAAGCUUCAAGCAGUCUCUCCACAUCUGCUACCUACAGAAGCUCCACAG
This 1530-nucleotide long non-coding RNA is filed under the name Takifugu rubripes (torafugu). RNAcentral describes it as "lncRNA (ENSTRUG00000029987.1)". Lineage: Eukaryota; Metazoa; Chordata; Actinopteri; Tetraodontiformes; Tetraodontidae. The record is from RNAcentral.